This 204-nucleotide long non-coding RNA is filed under the name Capsicum annuum. RNAcentral's name for it is "long non-coding RNA (CANN_LNC019733)". Lineage: Eukaryota; Viridiplantae; Streptophyta; Magnoliopsida; Solanales; Solanaceae. The record is from RNAcentral.
UCUUAUCUUAUCUUUCGAGCUGGCAUUUUGUCUUCUUGAUUUUUAUUCUAGAUGUACUUCUGGAAUAAUGUUAUCUUCUCCAUUACAUCUUGAACAUUGGUGAUCUGGAUAUUUGUGUCCAAUUAUUUUACAAUAUCUUGUCAGUAGUUCGUCUGAAAUAAAUUCUUUUUUAAUUGCUCUUGCGGUAGAUUGUUUUUCUGGGUU